This 281-nucleotide ribosomal RNA is filed under the name Salmonella enterica subsp. enterica serovar Kentucky. Its description in RNAcentral is "partial 23S ribosomal RNA". It matches the Rfam family "Bacterial large subunit ribosomal RNA", at positions 538 to 819 of the family's 2925-position model. Lineage: Bacteria; Pseudomonadati; Pseudomonadota; Gammaproteobacteria; Enterobacterales; Enterobacteriaceae. The record is from RNAcentral.
GUGAAAAAGAACCUGAAACCGUGUACGUACAAGCAGUGGGAGCACAGGUUUACCUGUGUGACUGCGUACCUUUUGUAUAAUGGGUCAGCGACUUAUAUUCUGUAGCAAGGUUAACCGAAUAGGGGAGCCGUAGGGAAACCGAGUCUUAACCGGGCGUUAAGUUGCAGGGUAUAGACCCGAAACCCGGUGAUCUAGCCAUGGGCAGGUUGAAGGUUGGGUAACACUAACUGGAGGACCGAACCGACUAAUGUUGAAAAAUUAGCGGAUGACCUGUGGCUGGG